Molecule: long non-coding RNA, 4643 nt
Organism: Carassius gibelio (silver crucian carp)
Lineage: Eukaryota; Metazoa; Chordata; Actinopteri; Cypriniformes; Cyprinidae
Exons: 3
Source: RefSeq, a predicted model, not a curated record
UUGAGCUGCACAGUGUAUUGAGGUCAGCAUGUAAAGAGUUAAGAGUUCGUGUCUGGGUAUUUACACAAGUGAAUAGAACAACAAUCAUCUAACAAGCCAAUUUUCAGGACAAUUUUCCCACUGGACCACAACAAAACGAGACUGUGGGGGAACACGUACUGUUUUUGCAGUGAGUGCACUUUACUGCGCAGAAGUUUGAUCAUGAUGGAAAACCAUCAGCCCAUUGCUCAAGGCGACCCGUCACUCCACAGACCAGUGCCAAAUCAAACAGUCCCAGGUCAAAGGUCAAACCCUCGGCCGCUGGGACAUCCCAUGCGCUUCAGCAAAGCAUAAUGAGCUCGUAUGACAGAGUUUGAUGUAAUCCGGGGAAAAGAGCGAAUCCCAGUCCAGAUCUGUCCUCGAUCGGACACCUGUGAGAUCUUCUGCUCCAAAACACACACAUCCAGUCGCCCGCGCACCGCUUUACUGCCAAGACACACAGUUUUAAGCAACAUGGAGGUCUGGAGGUUUGUCCCCCGAGGGCUGGAGGGAUACGUGACUGAGCGCAUGCAGCCGCGGAGACGAGGGGCGUCACUGAGAACCUUAGCACUGACGAGACCUCCAGUUACUGCACACUGGGAUUGAGCAACUUCAAGUGGACAAUAGUUCCUCUGUGGAGGACGAGCGCUCGCUAAACCUUCAGAAAUAUCAUCAGUUUGAUGCCACUGAGACAGCAUUAUCAGUCUCAACUCAUUCAGUUCAUGUUAAAUUGAAGUAAUAUUGUUUGAUUCUACUUUAACAUUUAAAUGUUACUUUUGAAUGUUCUCGGAAUGUUCUGAAACGAGUUAUGACAUUUAAAAAUGGUCAACAAACUAACAGUGCUGGGGAAAUUUACUUUUAAAAGUGAUGCAUUUUGAUAAUGCGUUAUUUUAGCCACUUGAGCUGGGCUUGCUUAUUUAUGUUGAAUAACAACACACCCUAAAGUUCUGUUUUUGGUGACACCAAAGUGAAAUGAAUAAUCUUCCAUCUCUGGACUCACAAUUUCUUUCAACACUGAGACCGGAGAGCUGUGGGUCAAUAAAUGCACUGUAAAAAAUAUUCUGUAAAAUAUACGGUAAAAAAACCCGCAAUUAUCCCAUAAAAACCUGAAUUAUCCCAUAAACAAUAUGAUAACACCGUUUUAGGUUUAACGGUUUUAUACCGUAAAAAAACGGUAACAUAUGGUAAAUUUACAGAUAAAUACCAUAGUUUAACAGAUAUAAUAUUGUUAUACCAACUUUCUGAAGUACUGAAAUCUGUUUUGUACCUUUGUAAUACUCUGGUAUCCACCAAAAGCAGAUGGUGACAAGAAAGUCUCGUAAUGAAACAAAGCCCAUCACAAGCAGUUUUUAAAUAAUAAAAUAUAUAGAAGGUGCACAGUGUCAUUCACACAAGCACUAAACACCAUCAUGGUGAGCCUCAUUAAACUGAAAUAUGCAAUAAACAUUAAUCUAACAACAUUAAAUGUAACAUACAACCCUAAUAAACAUAACAGAUAAGAAAAAAUAAAAAUAAACGGUUAUUUCGAAGAAAAAACAUCAAAUUCAAACAAAACUUGAAAUGCUACAAUUCUGGUAACGUCAGUUAAAUUUUUUUCCCAGGAAAUUUUACAGGAAUUACCGUUAAACGUUUACCAGGUUUGUACUGUAGCAUUUUUACAGUUUUUUUACUGUUAAAAUCACAGUAAUUUUUUUCAGUGUGGGAAAAGAAAGUAAUGUCCAUUAUGUAUUUAAAAAAGUAACUCAGAACAUUCCCUGUUAAUAGUAACUAUUCAUGUUAAAGCAAUAUUGUUUGUAUGGAAUACAUAAUAGUGCGUGACUAUACAUAAUAAAGUUUGACAGACUUCUAUUUCCAACUUAAUAUGAAGAGCUGGGCGAUUAUAUAGUUACAUUGUGCAAAAUAAUAAAAAUAGGCAGUUAAGAUUUACUAGUAUAUAAUUUUAUACGAGUAUACAGCAUGCAUAUGGAUAAAGUUGUAGAUAAUUUCACAGUUAACAAAAAUGUAAUCUAAGAAUGUUUUGCUAACACUCUUAUCAAGUUAUAAAAAUGUUAUUUCUAGAUGUCCUCUGAGCAACACCCAUGUUAAAUGUUUUAGAAAGGUUUUUCUUGGUUGCACAAACAUAUUUUACAUUGCAUAAAUAAAAUGUUUGAGCUUUGAGAACAUUACCAAAAAAAAACAUUCCAUUAAAAUUACUGCAAGAAUGUUUGUUCAUAACUUUUAGAGAUCAUUGCCAGAACGUUCUCUGUUAGCUGGGAUAUUAUCCUACUUAAUAUUUAAAGCUUUGUGAUAAUACAGGCACUAUAUAAACAGGCAAUAUAUACUAUGCUAUAUGUACAGUAACUGUUAUGCAUCUAAAAUUAUUUGCAUCCUUCAGAAGCAAGCAGAAAUAGGUGUGUGUGUGUGAGAGAGACAUUUAAACACAUUCCUCGUCCUGCACUUCAUCAGUUUUAGAGACAGAAGAGAGAACAUGCUAAUAAAUAUGAGCGAUGGAGGAAACCUCCCUCAGAGCCGAGCGUCUCACAUCCAUCUCAAACACAUCUCUGUCUGUCAAACACUGAUCCUCCUCUCGUCUUCCUGGAAGUCAAGUCAACAUCUCUACAAAGAAACACUCCUCUAGCACAGAUUUAUCUGCUGUUAACACUGAGAGCGUCAUUUAUGAUAAAACACAUCAUCUGAAGACUACUAUCAGGCAGAUCUUUCUGUUCUGUUUAGAAGAACUCUUACAGAAUGUUUCCAUACACAAUGUUUGAUGGAGACGUACGUGAAACAAUGUUUUAAGUCGGAAUGUCCUUAUGAUUUUAUUUGUAUGUUCUCAGAAUGGUGUUUGAAUAACGUUUGUCAGUAAUAUCAUUAGAACGUUCUCGUAACAUUUAGAAUGGAAUGUUCCUCUUACAUUGGGAUAACCAAGAAGAUACAUUCUUUACAUAUAACUGUUGAGAGAACAUUCAAAUGUAACAUUCUCAUACGGAAUGUUCCUCGAACGUUCAUACAACCGAGAAGAAACGUUCUUAAUACAUUUGAAAAAUAAUGUUUGGAAGAUACCAAAAGAAAAAGAAAAAUUGGAAUAAUAUUUUCAUAGCUUGAUUGUAAUGUUAGCAAAAUAUUCUUAAAACUGUAUUUUUGUUAGCUAGAGUUCUUGUUAUAUAAUCUAUUACUGAGAAUGCAACUGACUAGCAAUGUUUGCAUGGACAUAAUUAAUAAAUCAGAUUGAUGGAGCAAUCAGACUGAAAAACCUUCAUCGAUCUGAUAGAGCUUGAUUCGAAACCAUUCAGUCAAUAAAAAAAAGCAAGUAAACACUUGAAUCCUACGUUUUUUUUUUUUUUAUAAAAAUACCUUUAUGUGCAUGUUAACAUGCAUGUUUUAUGUCUCUUGUCAUUUCUGAAAUUGGAUUAAAUUCAUUUAAAUGGACAAAUUAUCGUAUUGUAUUAUGAACACAUUUCAGGACUCAACAUAAAAAAGAGCUUAAGCAGCUCAAGAGUUUCUGUUCAUGGAUUUCGCGUUUGAGGCUCUAUCGGGUCACUUGCAAUGGUGACAUUUUGUACAGAGUAAAAACAAAAACAAUAAGCCUUUAUGCAAAUCAUUUUGACGCUGACUAAAUUUGAGUUCUCAGAUUAGACCGCUGGGACUCAAAGACUCAAACUGACAAAACUUUAGCCAUGAAUGCUGCGUGUGGUCUGAAACCGAGACGGAAAGAAGAAACUUCCAGGAGAUUUUCAGUUCCAGUAAAAAUACAGAUGCAAUUCAGAUGGACCAGUUUUGGACUAAAACACUGGUUAAAGAGUGACUAUUUCAAGUACGCAAGGAUUUCAUCUAUAUUAAAACAGCAUGUCAUGAUGCAUUGCAUUCACAUAUUUUGUGAUGCAGACAAACCCCUUUCUAUGCAUAACUUACACUUUGUGACAUGCUGAUUCACAAAAUGCAACUGGCUUCUGUCUUUGUGUGUAUGAAAGUAAGUUUCAUUGCAUUUUAUCAUGAAAUAUUGCAUUUUGUACCAACUGAUGAACAGAAGUUUUUAUUUUUCAGAGCAAGUAUUAAAUGUGUGUACUACAACAAAUAUUUGGGUUAUAUCAUUAACAAUGAAUUGAGUGAUGAUGAUGAUAUAGGCAACAUCGUAUAUGGCAUCAAGCAUCAUUUAGCGCUUGCUUUAGAGCGGAUCCACCGAGCCGAUAAUCCUGUAAAGAUCCGCAUCCCUCCAGGAGUCACGUUCUCCAGCUCCUGCCUCUGCUUUUGAUUUACGAGCAGAGAGAGCAAGAACUUCACAGGACCUCAGACACAUGCUUCUUCUCCACAGCAGUAGACUACAGUUACAUCAUCCUCACUUAAGUGUUUGAAAUCAUAUCAGUCUGCUUUAGCUCACGAUAACUUCACCGAUAACUUACCGUCACAGACGGGAGGCUUCCUGUUUCGCCAUGUUUCCAGGAGCAUGUUUGUUAAAAAUGAGAUGAAUUACUCUCUUUAAGUGCAUUUCAUCAUAUUAACCUUAAGAUGCUUUGACAGAUUAAAAUCUUAAAGUAUAAACAGUUGAGCAUCUUCACUGGGAAAAUCAUCUCGCAGAUUCUCAGUGUCAAAGUGCACUCAACGAUUUAAAACUGGACUUUACAAAUAAAAUGGGCUGUUUUACCCAA